Molecule: transfer RNA, 71 nt
Filed under: Stegodyphus mimosarum
Lineage: Eukaryota; Metazoa; Arthropoda; Arachnida; Araneae; Eresidae
Rfam family: tRNA
About the family: Transfer RNA (tRNA) molecules are approximately 80 nucleotides in length. Their secondary structure includes four short double-helical elements and three loops (D, anti-codon, and T loops).
Source: Rfam by way of RNAcentral
GCCUUCGUGGUGUAACGGUAGCAUACUCGGCGGGUAUUCCAGAGGUCCCGGUUCGAGUCCUGGCGAGGGCA